RNAcentral lists this long non-coding RNA (430 nucleotides) under Linum usitatissimum (flax). RNAcentral's name for it is "long non-coding RNA (LUSI_LNC008180)". Lineage: Eukaryota; Viridiplantae; Streptophyta; Magnoliopsida; Malpighiales; Linaceae. The record is from RNAcentral.
AUGCAGUGGCUCUUCGAGCAUCGGGCGCGAGGUGUUUCCGUUACAGGGAGGGAAAGGUAAUGCAGCGAUAACCGGUACUCGUUCGGUCAAGUUGCUCGAAAUCCCUGCUCACUCGUUGAUCCAGGCCAUCGAGCUGUAUCUGGCACCUUUCGUGGUAAGCGUGAUUGGCGAACAGCUCGUCGACAUGGUGAGGGACGGUGGGAUCAUUAGAAACGUCGUGUGGAAGGAUUCUGUUCCCGAUUCUCCAAAGGAGAGUCGGGAACCGAGUGUCGGGGUCGAACCUUUCGUGGUAAGCGUGAUUGGCGAACAGCUCGUCGACAUGGUGAGGGACGGUGGGAUCAUUAGAAACGUCGUGUGGAAGGAUUCUGUUCCCGAUUCUCCAAAGGAGAGUCGGGAACCGAGUGUCGGGUUCGAGUCUGGUCCUCUCCAU